UACGGGGGGGGCAAGCGUUGUUCGGAAUUACUGGGCGUAAAGGGCUCGUAGGCGGCCAACUAAGUCAGACGUGAAAUCCCUCGGCUUAACCGGGGAACUGCAUCUGAUACUGGAUGGCUUGAGUUCGGGAGAGGGAUGCGGAAUUCCAGGUGUAGCGGUGAAAUGCGUAGAUAUCUGGAGGACCACCGGUGGCGAAGGCGGCAUCCUGGACCGACACUGACGCUGAGGAGCGAAAGCCAGGGGAGCAAACGGG
This 253-nucleotide ribosomal RNA is filed under the name uncultured bacterium. Its description in RNAcentral is "partial 16S ribosomal RNA". It matches the Rfam family "Bacterial small subunit ribosomal RNA", at positions 524 to 776 of the family's 1533-position model. The record is from RNAcentral.